GACGAACGCUGGCGGCGUGCCUAGUACAUGCAAGUUGAGCGCUGAAGGUUGGUACUUCUACCGACUGGAUGAGCAGCGAACGGGUGAGUAACGCGUGGGGAAUCUGCCUUUGAGCGGGGGACAACAUUUGGAAACGAAUGCUAAUACCGCAUAAAAACUUUAAACACAAGUUUUAAGUUUGAAAGAUGCAAUUGCAUCACUCAAAGAUGAUCCCGCGUUGUAUUAGCUAGUUGGUGAGGUAAAGGCUCACCAAGGCGAUGAUACAUAGCCGACCUGAGAGGGUGAUCGGCCACAUUGGGACUGAGACACGGCCCAACCUCCUACGGGAGGCAGCAGUAGGGAAUCUUCGGCAAUGGACGAAAGUCUGACCGAGCAACGCCGCGUGAGUGAGGAAGGUUUUCGGAUCGUAAAACUCUGUUGGUAGAGAAGAACGUUGGUGAGAGUGGAAAGCUCAUCAAGUGACGGUAACUACCCAGAAAGGGACGGCUAACUACGUG
RNAcentral lists this ribosomal RNA (497 nucleotides) under uncultured bacterium. Its description in RNAcentral is "partial 16S ribosomal RNA". It matches the Rfam family "Bacterial small subunit ribosomal RNA", at positions 28 to 507 of the family's 1533-position model. The record is from RNAcentral.